GUCAGGAUGGCCGAGUGGUCUAAGGCGCCAGACUCAAUUUCUGGUCUUCGUGAGAGGGCGUGGGUUCAAAUCCCACUUCUGACA
Molecule: transfer RNA, 84 nt
Filed under: Nicotiana tabacum (common tobacco)
Lineage: Eukaryota; Viridiplantae; Streptophyta; Magnoliopsida; Solanales; Solanaceae
Description: tRNA-Leu (CAA) (tRNA-Leu-CAA-10-1)
Rfam family: tRNA
About the family: Transfer RNA (tRNA) molecules are approximately 80 nucleotides in length. Their secondary structure includes four short double-helical elements and three loops (D, anti-codon, and T loops).
Source: Rfam by way of RNAcentral